UACACUCCUGCGGGAGGCAGCAGUGGGGAAUUUUGGACAAUGGGCGAAAGCCUGAUCCAGCAAUGCCGCGUGAGUGAAGAAGGCCUUCGGGUUGUAAAGCUCUUUUGUCAGGGAAGAAACGGUGAAAGCUAAUAUCUUUUGCUAAUGACGGUACCUGAAGAAUAAGCACCGGCUAACUACGUGCCAGCAGCCGCGGUAAUACGUAGGGUGCAAGCGUUAAUCGGAAUUACUGGGCGUAAAGCGUGCGCAGGCGGUUUUGUAAGUCUGAUGUGAAAUCCCCGGGCUCAACCUGGGAAUUGCAUUGGAGACUGCAAGGCUAGAAUCUUGCAGAGGGGGGUAGAAUUCCACGUGUAGCAGUGAAAUGCGUAGAUAUGUGGAGGAACACCGAUGGCGAAGGCAGCCCCCUGGGUCAAGAUUGACGCUCAUGCACGAAAGCGUGGGGAGCAAACAGGAUUAGAAACCCCGGUAGUCCCAU
RNAcentral lists this ribosomal RNA (475 nucleotides) under uncultured organism. RNAcentral describes it as "partial 16S ribosomal RNA". It matches the Rfam family "Bacterial small subunit ribosomal RNA", at positions 332 to 798 of the family's 1533-position model. The record is from RNAcentral.